CUUUACCCACUCGCCAGACCACGCCCAGCUACUUUCGGCCUUCAUAUCUAGAGAACCAAGCAAGGCACUGGAAAUCCAAGACCACCACUAGAGAGCACUAAUCAAGAUCUAUCAUCAGAUAUAUUAAAAACAUCUGCCGUAAUCGGAUCGCUGGCUAUACCUUUAAUCAUGAUAUUCUUUUAUGUUCAGCUUUUCAAAUCACUCAUUAUUCCUCCCCUCAUAACACAACAUAGACCCCAUGGCUGACCAUGCAUGUUGUCACACAAAAUAAUAGCAUAUAACAAUGGCCACAUGUAGCCUCUAUCCCAGGCCGAGUUUUCGCUUUUAUAACGGGAGCCUAACCGUUAUAAAAGCGAAAACUCGGCCUGGGAUCGAGGCUAUGGCCACAUGACUCUAACGCGAUAGAAUCUUUUUCUUGUUCUUUGUUGCCUCUAAGCACAUGGUUGGGUGAAUUCUUGUGGCUAAUUAAGUCAAAUUCAUUGUGACGGUUCAAUUUAUAAUUAUUUCAUAGUAAUGAAUAAUGAUAAUACUGCUCACAUCCGCUUAUAAUUCUCUGACGGGAAACUACAGUCUCAUUUGGAGUGUGGCCUUAUGAUAACAAUGAAUAUAAAACUAACUCACUCUAAUGGUUGAUGCAUGGGUGGGUGCAUGCAUGCUGCAUUUUGUGCUGAGAAAAUAUUUCCUGAUAGACACAUCAACCAACCUUUUCUCCAAUCAUGCAUGCAUGCAUAUCGCAUUCAUGCAGCCUUGAAACCAGGCGACGCCCAAACUUGCAGGCUCUAAGACUGAUCAGGUAAAAUCCCCUUUCAAGUUGUUGUCAAAGCAAACUUUGUUCUAGAUCUAUAAUAUCUCUAUAUAUGGCAAAGACUAGCUCUAGAUCUCAGUAUAGCCGGAAAACCUGGCAAAUCAACUCAUUGUGGAGAUGUAAUGCAAGUCUAUACAGUAUGUCUAUGAUCAUUGAUGAGUGUCUUGUUCUUUGUACAAGCCUACUUAUUGGAGGGUUGUGGAUAAACCAAGUAUCAGCGCAAUGAUGUACUCCACUUGAGGAGCAGCAUGCCUGCUCCCUCUAACAGCCAGAAACACCCUGGACAGAUACCCUCAGGUGCUUCCUGGUAAUGUUUUAAUAACUUCAAUUGGUAUCACCACUGCAUUCUCUCUCUUACGAGUGCCCCCACCCGACCCUAACUGUGAAACUGCAAUCAAGCACUUAAUAUGCUUGGCAGCUACACCACCUUGCACCAAUGUUACAGAUCUUCUACUGCCAGUUUGCAGUGAUAGUUGCUCGGCGUUUAAUCGUCUAGUUGAAGAAGGGAAGUGCAACUCUAUAUUAGAGUCUUCAGAACAGUUUCUGU
Halichondria panicea is the source of this 1352-nucleotide long non-coding RNA. RefSeq lists it as uncharacterized. The record is from RefSeq and is a predicted model, not a curated record. NCBI's taxonomy places the organism in Eukaryota, Metazoa, Porifera, Demospongiae, Suberitida, Halichondriidae. The transcript has 3 exons.